UGUGAGAUAAAUGCUUGUUCUGUCUCCA
RNAcentral lists this non-coding RNA (28 nucleotides) under Mus musculus (house mouse). The record is from RNAcentral. Lineage: Eukaryota; Metazoa; Chordata; Mammalia; Rodentia; Muridae.